Molecule: ribosomal RNA, 497 nt
Filed under: uncultured bacterium
Lineage: Bacteria
Description: partial 16S ribosomal RNA
Rfam family: Bacterial small subunit ribosomal RNA
Source: RNAcentral
GAUGAACGCUGGCGGCGUGCCUAAUACAUGCAAGUCGAGCGAACAGACGAGGAGCUUGCUCCUCUGACGUUAGCGGCGGACGGGUGAGUAACACGUGGAUAACCUACCUAUAAGACUGGGAUAACUUCGGGAAACCGGAGCUAAUACCGGAUAAUAUAUUGAACCGCAUGGUUCAAUAGUGAAAGACGGUUUUGCUGUCACUUAUAGAUGGAUCCGCGCCGCGUUAGCUAGUUGGUAAGGUAACGGCUUACCAAGGCAACGAUGCGUAGCCGACCUGAGAGGGUGAUCGGCCACACUGGAACUGAGACACGGUCCAGACUCCUACGGGAGGCAGCAGUAGGGAAUCUUCCGCAAUGGGCGAAAGCUUGACGGAGCCACGCCGCGUGAGUGAUGAAGGUCUUCGGAUCGUAAAACUCUGUUAUUAGGGAAGAACAAAUGUGUAAGUAACUAUGCACGUCUUGACGGUACCUAAUCAGAAAGCCACGGCUAACUACGUG